GCAUUGGUGGUUCAGUGGUAGAAUUCUAGCUUGCCAUGUUGGAGGCCUGGGUUCGAUUUCCAGCCAAGCG
Molecule: transfer RNA, 70 nt
Filed under: Ameiurus melas (black bullhead)
Lineage: Eukaryota; Metazoa; Chordata; Actinopteri; Siluriformes; Ictaluridae
Rfam family: tRNA
About the family: Transfer RNA (tRNA) molecules are approximately 80 nucleotides in length.
Source: Rfam by way of RNAcentral